GGGGCNGCAGGGACUUCGGUCCGCUGGCGACCGGCAACGGGUGCGGAACACGUACACAACUUACCCUCAUCUGGGGCAUAGCCCGGUGAAAACCGGAUUAACUCCCCAUAGUAUUGUUUGGUGGCAUCACUGGAUAAUUAAAAAUUUAUUGGAUGAGGAUGGGUGUGCGUCCUAUUAGCUAGUUGGUGUGGGUAAUGGCCCACCAAGGCGACGAUAGGUAGCUGAUGUGAGAGCAUGAUCAGCCACACGGGCACUGAGACACGGGCCCGACUCCUACGGGAGGCAGCAGUGAGGAAUAUUGGUCAAUGGACGCAAGUCUGAACCAGCCAUGCCGCGUGAAGGAUGAAGGCGUUCUGCGUUGUAAACUUCUUUUAUUGGGGAAGAAACCUGAAUUUUCUAAUUCAGCCGACGGUACCCAAGGAAUAAGCACCGGCUAACUCCGUGCCAGCAGCCGCGGUAAUACGGAGGGUGCAAGCGUUAUCCGGAUUUACUGGGUUUAAAGGGUGUGUAGGCGGACUUUUAAGUCAGGGGUGAAUCCCGAGGCUCAACCUCGGAACUGCCUUUGAUACUAUUGGUCUUGAAUCUUGUUGAGGUGGGCGGAACGGGUCAUGUAGCGGUGAAAUGCAUAGAUAUGACCCGGAACACCGAUUGCGAAGGCAGCCCGCUAAGCAAGCAUUGACGCUGAGGCACGAAAGCGUGGGGAUCANACAGGAUUAGAUACCCUGGUAGUCCACGCCCUAAACGAUGAUUACUCGACGUUGGCGAUACACUGAUCAGCGUCCAAGCGAAAGCAUUAAGUAAUCCACCUGGGAAGUACGUUCGCAAGAAUGAAACUCAAAGGAAUUGACGGGGGUCCGCACAAGCGGUGGGAGCAUGUGGUUUAAUUCGAUGAUACGCGAGGAACCUUACCUGGGGCUAGAAUGCANUCUGACCGCUGGUGAAAGCCAGUUUUCUAGCAAUAGACAGAUUGUAAGGUGCUGC
This 981-nucleotide ribosomal RNA is filed under the name uncultured Niastella sp. RNAcentral's name for it is "bacterial SSU rRNA". It matches the Rfam family "Bacterial small subunit ribosomal RNA", at positions 66 to 1044 of the family's 1533-position model. Lineage: Bacteria; Pseudomonadati; Bacteroidota; Chitinophagia; Chitinophagales; Chitinophagaceae. The record is from RNAcentral.